UGACUCAUAUGAAGAUUAUCUUUUUAGAAGAGACCUUGAGAACAUACUCUGGAUUUAGGGGACGAAAAAUAUGAACAACUCAAGCUUGAAGAAAUAUUACCCCACCAAUGCCCAAGAUAGUCUAAAGCCUGAAUUUGAAGAUGCAUGAAACACCAAAGAGGAAAUAUGUCAAAUCAAGUUGUUUAUUAUUUGAUCUUGAAGAUGAUCCAG
This is a long non-coding RNA of Eptesicus fuscus (big brown bat), 210 nucleotides long. RefSeq lists it as uncharacterized. Lineage: Eukaryota; Metazoa; Chordata; Mammalia; Chiroptera; Vespertilionidae. The record is from RefSeq and is a predicted model, not a curated record. The transcript is spliced from 3 exons.